GUACCAUCCUUUGUAUCCCACAUCUGAAUCUAUUUGACCACGUGACAGAAUCAUCCUCAAUGAUGAGUUGAUCUAUCUUAAGAGCCCACCUCGUAUAGGCAAUACUAGCCCACGUAGCCCACAACUCCAUCUCGGGAUCAUAGUAUCCACCAGGCAAUUUCCAUCUGCCACCAACGAUCUCGAGUUCGGGCCAUGAAUCAUGAACCCCGCUCCUUUUCUCAAGUCAGACACACUGCUAUCAAAAUUAAUCUUGAGAAAUAUCGGGGAUGGAGGCUGCCAAGAGAUGAAUAUUCGACGGGUUGCUCAACAAGCCCAAUGGGAGUCCCAGUGAUCUGCCAUCCUUAAGACUGAAUUGGAUGGUGAAGAAUAAACAAACUCCAUUGCCUGGGCCAGCGCUCUCUCCACCACAACAAUCAUUGAUGAUCGUCUCGACUCAAGCACCAUAUUAUUCAUAAAUAACCAAAUAUUGUAUGCAACAUAGCCACACGAAUCCCAAUGAGCCUAAUUAAAUUUGAAGCUAAACUCUAUCAGAGAAACUCCACAAAGGUCUGGGAUGAGGUUGGUCAGAACAGCGAUCGUAAGUGAACCUACCUGCCGUCAGAUCUGAACAGCUCUCGAACACUAGAACAACACAUGCUCUAUAGUCUCCUCCUCCACCUCACAACAAGGAUAGAUAGAUGAGAGAUCUAGACCCCUAUUCCUCAGCACCACAACAUAUGAUGUGUGUGUGUGAACAUUUUUCAUGUGCAAUUGCUUUUUCCCUCAUAUUGUAUUUUCAAUCAUCGUAUAUUAUAAUAUAUGAAUAUUGAAUAGCCUAUGCUUUUGUGUCAUCUAUUUAUACAUAAUUAUAUAAAAUAUAUUCUUUUUUAUUAGAUUAACAUCCUUUUUUUUCUUAAUCCAUUGCAAG
Molecule: long non-coding RNA, 907 nt
Filed under: Elaeis guineensis (African oil palm)
Lineage: Eukaryota; Viridiplantae; Streptophyta; Magnoliopsida; Arecales; Arecaceae
Description: long non-coding RNA (EGUI_LNC010923)
Source: RNAcentral